UACAGAGGUCUCAAGCGUUGUUCGGAUUCAUUGGGCGUAAAGGGUGCGUAGGCGGCGCGGUAAGUCGGGUGUGAAAUCUCGGAGCUUAACUCCGAAACUGCAUUCGAUACUGCCGUGCUUGAGGACUGGAGAGGAGACUGGAAUUUACGGUGUAGCGGUGAAAUGCGUAGAUAUCGUAAGGAAGACCAGCGGCGAAGGCGGGUCUCUGGACAGUUCCUGACACUGAGGCACGAAGGCCAGGGGAGCAAACGGG
Molecule: ribosomal RNA, 253 nt
Filed under: uncultured bacterium
Lineage: Bacteria
Description: partial 16S ribosomal RNA
Rfam family: Bacterial small subunit ribosomal RNA
Source: RNAcentral